This 70-nucleotide transfer RNA is filed under the name Araneus ventricosus. Its description in RNAcentral is "tRNA-Pro". The record is from RNAcentral. Lineage: Eukaryota; Metazoa; Arthropoda; Arachnida; Araneae; Araneidae.
GGAACCCGCGGCCAAGUGGUAAGGUCUCGGCUUUGGGACCGGAAGGUUCCAGGUUCGAAACCUGAUUCCA